Molecule: long non-coding RNA, 1477 nt
Organism: Ictalurus punctatus (channel catfish)
Lineage: Eukaryota; Metazoa; Chordata; Actinopteri; Siluriformes; Ictaluridae
Source: Ensembl
CUAGAUUAAAUUCGAUAUGCUAAAUUAAAUUCUGAUUUGGUUAAGCUGUCUGGGUUGUUUCUAAAACACACACACACACACACACAUCAAUUCAGUCUAAGACAUCAUUUACUUUCUGAAGAGAUUUAUUUCCAAACACAGGCUGGUUAUUAUUAAAAAAAAAACUUUUACCUCUCACAUGAUUUUUUUUAUUUAAAAUGUUUUUCUUUCUUUCUUUUCUUUUUUUUUUUUUUUUUAGAAAAACACAAUGUCACUGAAAGGAAAUAGCUAAAGUUGUCUAGUUAGGCAAUGUGAUUCCAUUGUCCGGUGAGCAAGCAAAGCUCCUAUCGACCAACAUGCACGUCACAUCACGAGGAUAAUUCAGUCCCAGAACGCAGCCUUACAACCGGGCCUCCGAAGUUUCCCACCAUCAACCGGUACGUUUUGUGUCAGGAGCCUCUUAAGGAACUAAAGUGUUCUGAAACUUUCCUACACAAGAAUUACAACAUUCCUGGUUUGCGUUUUUCACCCCGUUAAAGGAACCAGGACCGUUAUUUAAAAUAAAAUGUAAAAAAAAAAUAAAAAAGUGGUGCAAACUAUGUGACAAAUACAACACCUGCUGCAAAUAUAACAGCAACUGUGGAGGAGGUUGAGACUAAAGUUUUGGUUCAUUAUUGCUGUUGCACUGAUGACUGAGUAUGUUCACAGUAAGGAAGCUUUUUAAAAUUCAUGCUUCGACUUUGUUUAGACCUUACCGCUAGAAGAAUGUAUGCAUGUUCCUGUGCAAAAACCACAUUUUUGUUAAAUCGUUCUGCUUUGCCAGGUGUGCCACUCCACUUCGAAAAAACAAACAAACAAGCACUUCUUAGCUGCAUACAGUUGUUGUAUCUAUAUAUUCCAGAUAAGAUCGUUUGUCCCUGGUCACUGUUUGAUGGAUCGUUGAUGUUUAGUAGAGUAAGGUACAUCCCUGUAACUCCUGGAGCAGGAAAUAUAAUCGGCCCUGGUUCCUCUUGCGGGAAUGCCUUAUGUUCUUAAGUUCCUGAAACAUUCCUUGGUUCCUGUGGUGGAAACACUCCCGACGGCUGAUUUCUAUAUCUCGGAAGCUGUGCAUACGUACGCCUCAUACAACUAGAGGUUGUAAAUCGUGAUUCCCGGACUCCGACUAGGAAAACCAAAAGAAAACGCCCCGUCAACUCUGAGGACAUCAAAUCAACGCUUUAUACAAAGUUAAAUGUAACAUCAGUGAGUAGCUACUGGUGCACGUCAAGACUCUCUACACUGCGAUCAGCAACGGCGUUUCAGUCUGUGCAUGCAACUCGCACCUUGUUUCACUAUGCACUCGAGGACGAGAGCUUAGUCUUCUACAGGAGUAAAGCCAAAUCAUUUAAGAUUAUUACUCGUCACAUUGUACAAGGUGAUCCUAAUCAAAUAUAUAACACACUGUGUGAUAACGUGUGAUCUCCAUGUCAGAUUAUACAACAAGAUAGCUCUAACGGUA